GGCAGGUCGGAGGCAGCGCUGGUGUAUCUUGUUUGGCAGUGCCCAUGUUAAUGUAUGUGCGUUGGCUAGGCAAUGGGCACACAGGCAGCUGCUGGCAGCCACGGCGUGGACGUCCCCUGCACCGGGGCAUACCACAGGGUACAUGAAGGGAUGGAGUAAGAGGUCAAGACUGGGGGGCAAAGGAUGCAUAUCUUGGGCGAAACUACAUUUCAUCAGUUCUUUUGCCCGCUGAGUAACCUGUUGAGUUUUAGCGUGUCAGCUCCACAGUGACAGUGGGGCUGAAUAAGACCUUCGGCUUGUCCUAAAAGCAUCAAGGGUUCCCAUGAGAUCUCCCACCCGAGGAACUGCUAGAUCCAAAGCUGCACACCUUGAAAGACCGGAGGAUACCAAAGGCCUGAAGUCCAGCACAGCUGUGGGCUAUUUUCUGCACUCAAUAAGGCAAGAGAUGAUCUGAUCUUUGAGGUUGCUUACCAAAUCUCGACACAGCCUCAUUACAAGCUGUUUUCUGCUGCUAUCUGCAGCCAGAAGUAAUGAUAGCCAUGCAUGGGAAGACAGCACAGCCCCUCCUCCUCAAUGCGCACACCACCAAACCUGCACCGCGCUGCUUCAGAGGAAAGCAGUAGCUCCGGUGGGGACAGGAAUACUCAUCAUCAUUCCCCGCAUUCCUGGAGAAGCUUUCAUCCGAAGGUUUCAAAGAAUAUACCCUUUUCCAGCAUUGCGUAUAAUGCAUAAACCUUACAAUACCACUGACACGCAGGCUGGGCAACUGCAUUGUGUUGCGGCUUGCUGAGUCCCCGAGAGAGUUAACGUCAUCACCAAGUAAACUAAAGGCACUUUCAUUUGAAGCUAGUGGGUUCUCAGUACAGCGGGAAGCCAAGAUGCUUCCUUUGAGCCAUGCAGUUCUAGGCGACUAGGACUGAAAAUCUGGGCCACUAGUUAUCAUGGGCACAGUACUGAGUUUUGACACUGCAGAGCCAAAAUGCCUUUGCUUAAGAAGGCAGUACAACCACACAUAAUGCAGCACUGUAGAAAAUUGUGUACAAACCUUCUACAGAGGGUGUACUGAGGACCCAUUCAUCAUUUUUGAUCAGCUACAACUCUAAUUGAGGGAAUUCAUCACUCUAGAGCCCUGCCACAGCGGUAAAGUUUACACCCCUAGCCUCAGACCAUCCUGACAUUCAUCAAUGUUAGUUUUCUGGGGUCAGAUUUCUUUCUGCUGAUAGGGAAGGACCCAAUGGACAUAUUUCUUCUCAGGUUUUGUGAGGCUCUGAAACUCCUACUCAGUGUUAUAAGACUACUUUGCUCUCAAGAGCCACAUAAUACUUUGCAAAAAAUAAAUAGACAAAAUUAGAAAAAACACUGAAGAAAUGAAGGGAGGACUAGAGCAAAGGAAAUUAAUGUAGGCCUUAAAUGUGACAGAGAACUGCAUGACAGAAUUUUUAAAAGCACGUUUAGAAAUGUAGUUGGAAACCUGUCAGCAUCAUUAGAUGCCUGGACAUUUUUACAAAUCUGCCCCUGAAGGAGCUGUGGCAUAAAAUGAAUGCUAAAACAAGGGUUUUACUUCCAAGAAUGCUCUCAGCAAUGGAUUGUGGAAGCUUAAAAAUAUUUCUUUUUAUUUUCCUUAACUUUGUAGAGAGUUGGUAGGACUAUACAUUAAUCUGUGCAUACAGGGUUAUAUUCCUUGUGUAUGUUUGAGUCAGUGAUUCAGGACUCUGGCAGGGUGAAAAGCAAUCUGGUACAGAGCUGCUGUGUGACUGUAGGUGGUUGGAAACAGAACCCUUUCCUCUUAACCCCUUCAAACCUGGAAUGUGAUGCAGAUAUUUAAUUAUGGCUUCCAGUUUGCCUCCAAAGAGGAGGAGUUGACUUGCGAAUAUCUUUGCCCUUUAUUGUAUUAGCCCCUUUUUACUAUGUAAGGGAUGAGCUAUCUUUACUAAUACAAGCAGAUUUUUGAAAUCUUUGACUGAAAAAAAGUAUUACAAAACGGUACAUAAAGAGAAGAUAACGUAUGGACAAACACUACAACGAGCAAGGAAAAUCCUCACCUAGAGCCCCUGUGCAUCAUUCCUGCUACAUGUCCCCAGGGGUCUUUCUUACUGCUCAUCAGGACAGCCAGGUUUUCCUUUAGAGAGGAGAUACGUUCUUCCCCCAGCACAUGACAGUGUUCAACUUUGCUCGUAAUCUAAUAAAUAACGUGUUCAUAUGAA
This is a long non-coding RNA of Harpia harpyja (harpy eagle), 2204 nucleotides long. RefSeq lists it as uncharacterized. NCBI's taxonomy places the organism in Eukaryota, Metazoa, Chordata, Aves, Accipitriformes, Accipitridae. The record is from RefSeq and is a predicted model, not a curated record. The transcript is spliced from 4 exons.